AAGCGUGACUGUCAAAUCUAUAUAUUCUCUCUCUCUCUCUCUCUCUCUCUCUCUCUCUCUCUCUCUAUCUGUUUUAUUAUUAUUAUUAUUAUUAUUAUUUAGUUUAAUUAGUUUAUUUAUUUGUCCAUCUCUUUCUCUUACUCUCUAUCUAGAUUUCUCAGAAGAGGUGUCUGUUCCGGAGAUUCGAUUUAAUCGGCGAUCUUUUUCCACUGCUCCUCGUGAAUCAGACUCCUCUUCCUCCUUCUCUCCCUACAAUAUAAUGUUCCAGAUUUUCAAGGAUUAUUAUUGGGGAAGUGAUUGAGUGAAGAAAUAAUAUGGACGGGGAGACAUUGUCAAGAGGAGAAAUUGAUGGGAAAAUGGUACAGAGAUUUCAAACGAAUUUCGUUCAAGUACAGAACAUUUUAGAGCAAAACAGAAUGUUGAUCAAUGAAAUAAACCAAAAUCAGGAGUCGAGAAUGGCGGGUAAAGUGAGCAGAAACGUGGGUCUGAUUCGAGAGCUGAACAACAACAUCAGAAGAGUUGUUGAUUUAUAUGCUGAUCUCUCCACUUCCUUCACCAACUCCAUCGAACAUGGAGACUCCGCGGCCAAGCCUGGCUACAAGCGCAACCGCCCGUAGCAGCUAUUACCCCCUUAUCCUUUCUCAUCUCAUUCUUUCCCUUACUACAGCCAAUAACUUAAAUUAUUCUAAAACCAAAAUUUUCUUUUGUUGGGGGAAAUAUAUUGUGAAGUAAUUAGGCAGUGUGUGUGCCCGCUGUGCAGUGUAGGUACUACUCAACUCUAUUCACUCUUCUCCUAUGAACUCAAAUUUAAACCUCCUUUUGUUCCUCUGCUUUUUUUUCCUCACAAAACUUACUGUUUCAUCAUUUUAUUUUCACUGCUUAA
Long non-coding RNA from Cucumis melo (muskmelon), 883 nucleotides. RefSeq lists it as uncharacterized. The transcript has 2 exons. The record is from RefSeq and is a predicted model, not a curated record. NCBI's taxonomy places the organism in Eukaryota, Viridiplantae, Streptophyta, Magnoliopsida, Cucurbitales, Cucurbitaceae.